Molecule: ribosomal RNA, 895 nt
Filed under: uncultured archaeon
Lineage: Archaea
Description: bacterial SSU rRNA
Rfam family: Archaeal small subunit ribosomal RNA
Source: RNAcentral
CCCGACUGCUAUUUGGGUGAGGAUAAACCAUGCGAGUUGUAUGGGAUACCUAAAUUUCCCAUAGCAAACUGCUUAGUAACACAUGAUCAACUUGCCCUAUGGAGAAAUAUAACCUCGGGAAACUGAGGAUAAUGCUUCAUAGUUGAAUAGGCUUGGAAAAGUUUUUCAAUGAAAGGGAUAAGAUAAAUGGUUCUUAUCUGCCAUAGGAUAGGAUCGUGCUCGAUUAUGGUUGUUGGUGAGGUAACGGCUCACCAAGCCGAUAAUCGAUAGGGGCCGUGAGAGCGGGAGCCCCAAGAUGGGUACUGAGACAGCGACCCAGGCCUUACGAGGCGCAGCAGGUACGAAACCUCCGCAAUACACGAAAGUGUGACGGGGUUACCCAAAGUGUUCUUAUAGAACUGUGGCAGGUGAGUAAUGUCCCCUGCUAGAAAGGAGAGGGCAAGGCUGGUGCCAGCCGCCGCGGUAAAACCAGCUCUUCAAGUGGUCGGGAUAAUUAUUGGGCUUAAAGUGUCCGUAGCCGGUUUAGUAAGUUCCUGGUAAAAUCAGGUAGCUUAACUAUCUGUAUGCUAGGAAUACUGCUAUACUAGAGGGCGGGAGAGGUCUGAGGUACUACAGGGGUAGGGGUGAAAUCUUAUAAUCCUUGUAGGACCACCAGUGGCGAAGGCGUCAGACUGGAACGCGCCUGACGGUGAGGGACGAAAGCCAGGGGAGCGAACCGGAUUAGAUACCCGGGUAGUCCUGGCCGUAAACGAUGCAUACUAGGUGAUGGUACGGCCAUGAGCCGUGUCAGUGCCGUAGGGAAACCGUUAAGUGUGCCGCCUGGGAAGUACGGUCGCAAGGCUAAAACUUAAAGGAAUUGGCGGGGGAGCACCACAAGGGGUGAAGCCUGCGGUUC